Molecule: ribosomal RNA, 380 nt
Filed under: uncultured eukaryote
Lineage: Eukaryota
Description: SSU rRNA
Rfam family: Eukaryotic small subunit ribosomal RNA
Source: RNAcentral
AGCUCCAAUAGCGUAUAUUUAAGUUGUUGCAGUUAAAAAGCUCGUAGUUGGAUUUCGGGUGGGCGCUACCGGUCCGCCGAUCCGGUGUGCACUGGUCGCGCCCAUCUUGCUGCCGGGGACAGGCUGCUGGGCUUAACUGUCUGGCACCUGGAGUCGGCGAGGUUACUUUGAGUAAAUUAGAGUGUUCAAAGCAGGCCUACGCUCUGAAUACAUUAGCAUGGAAUAACACGAUAGGACUCUGGCCUAUCUCGUUGGUCUGUGGGACCGGAGUAAUGAUUAAGAGGGACAGUCGGGGGCAUUCGUAUUUCAUUGUCAGAGGUGAAAUUCUUGGAUUUAUGAAAGACGAACUUCUGCGAAAGCAUUUGCCAAGGAUGUUUUCA